GGAGCGCUGGCGCAAUGGUAGCGCGUACGACUCCAGAUCGUAAGGUUAAGGGUUCAAAUCCCUUGCGUUCCC
This is a transfer RNA of Ramazzottius varieornatus, 72 nucleotides long. It matches the Rfam family "tRNA". Rfam says of the family: Transfer RNA (tRNA) molecules are approximately 80 nucleotides in length. Their secondary structure includes four short double-helical elements and three loops (D, anti-codon, and T loops). Further hydrogen bonds mediate the characteristic L-shaped molecular structure. tRNAs have two regions of fundamental functional importance: the anti-codon, which is responsible for specific mRNA codon recognition, and the 3' end, to which the tRNAs corresponding amino acid is attached (by aminoacyl-tRNA synthetases). tRNAs cope with the degeneracy of the genetic code in two manners: having more than one tRNA (with a specific anti-codon) for a particular amino acid; and 'wobble' base-pairing, i.e. permitting non-standard base-pairing at the 3rd anti-codon position. The record is from Rfam. NCBI's taxonomy places the organism in Eukaryota, Metazoa, Tardigrada, Eutardigrada, Parachela, Ramazzottiidae.